RNAcentral lists this ribosomal RNA (450 nucleotides) under Micrococcus sp. RNAcentral describes it as "bacterial SSU rRNA". It matches the Rfam family "Bacterial small subunit ribosomal RNA", at positions 754 to 1204 of the family's 1533-position model. The record is from RNAcentral. Lineage: Bacteria; Bacillati; Actinomycetota; Actinomycetes; Micrococcales; Micrococcaceae.
CGAAAGCAUGGGGAGCGAACAGGAUUAGAUACCUGGUAGUCCAUGCCGUAAACGUUGGGCACUAGGUGUGGGGACCAUUCCACGGUUUCCGCGCCGCAGCUAACGCAUUAAGUGCCCGCCUGGGGAGUACGGCCGCAAGGCUAAAACUCAAAGGAAUUGACGGGGGCCCGCACAAGCGGCGGAGCAUGCGGAUUAAUUCGAUGCAACGCGAAGAACCUUACCAAGGCUUGACAUGUUCUCGAUCGCCGUAGAGAUACGGUUUCCCUUUGGGGUGGGUUCACAGGUGGUGCAUGGUUGUCGUCAGCUCGUGUCGUGAGAUGUUGGGUUAAGUCCCGCAACGAGCGCAACCCUCGUUCCAUGUUGCCAGCACGUCGUGGUGGGGACUCAUGGGAGACUGCCGGGGUCAACUCGGAGGAAGGUGAGGACGACGUCAAAUCAUCAUGCCCCUUA